UACGAAGGGUGCAAGCGUUACUCGGAAUUACUGGGCGUAAAGCGUGCGUAGGUGGUUUGUUAAGUCUGAUGUGAAAGCCCUGGGCUCAACCUGGGAACUGCAUUGGAAACUGGCUUACUAGAGUGCGGUAGAGGGGUGUGGAAUUCCCGGUGUAGCAGUGAAAUGCGUAGAUAUCGGGAGGAACAUCUGUGGCGAAGGCGGCGACCUGGGCCAAUACUGACGCUGAGGUGCGAAAGCGUGGGGAGCAAACAGG
This 253-nucleotide ribosomal RNA is filed under the name uncultured bacterium. RNAcentral's name for it is "partial 16S ribosomal RNA". It matches the Rfam family "Bacterial small subunit ribosomal RNA", at positions 524 to 776 of the family's 1533-position model. The record is from RNAcentral.